This 497-nucleotide ribosomal RNA is filed under the name Rhombophryne savaka. Its description in RNAcentral is "partial large subunit ribosomal RNA". It matches the Rfam family "Bacterial large subunit ribosomal RNA", at positions 1942 to 2606 of the family's 2925-position model. The record is from RNAcentral. Lineage: Eukaryota; Metazoa; Chordata; Amphibia; Anura; Microhylidae.
CUAACCACGCGAAGGUAGCAUAAUCACUUGUUCUUUAAAUGGGGACUAGUAUGAACGGCAUCACGAGGGCUAAACUGUCUCCCCCCUCCAAUCAGUGAAACUGAUCUCCUCGUGAAGAAGCGAGGAUAUACAAAUAAGACGAGAAGACCCCAUGGAACUUUAAAACUAGUACCACUGCUCCCACAAUACACCACACAAGCCAGGACAUUAUGGCUACUAGUCUUUCGGCUGGGGCGACCAUGGAGAAAAACAGAACCUCCAUAAUGAACGGAAAUUUUCCUAAUCCCAGAAUUACAAUUCCAAGAAUCAACAAAUUGACAUACAUUGACCCAAAUAUUGAUCAACGAACCAAGCUACCCUGGGGAUAACAGCGCAAUCCAUUUCAAGAGCCCCCAUCGACAAAUGGGCUUACGACCUCGAUGUUGGAUCAGGGUAUCCUGAUGGUGCAGCCGCUAUCAAGGGUUCGUCUGUUCGACGACUAAGACCCUUCGUGAUCU